CGCUCGACAUCAGAGUUUGAUCCUGGCUCAGGACAACGCUGGCGGCGUGCCUAACACAUGCAAGUCGAACGGGGCACCUUCGGGUGCUUAGUGGCGAACGGGUGAGUAACGCGUGAGAAACCUGCCUUUCAGUGGGGGACAACAGUUGGAAACGACUGCUAAUACCGCAUGAUGUUAUUUGAGGGCAUCCUCGGAUAACCAAAGCUUAAUGUGCUGAAAGAUGGUCUCGCGUCUGAUUAGCUAGAUGGCGGGGGCAACGGCCCACCAUGGCGACGAUCAGUAGCCGGUCUGAGAGGAUGAACGGCCACAUUGGGACUGAGAUACGGCCCAG
Molecule: ribosomal RNA, 331 nt
Filed under: uncultured bacterium
Lineage: Bacteria
Description: bacterial SSU rRNA
Rfam family: Bacterial small subunit ribosomal RNA
Source: RNAcentral